AGUACGGCGGAACACGAGAAAUUCCGUCGGAAUCCGCGGGGACCAUCCCGCAAGGCUAAAUACUCCCUAGUGACCGAUAGUGAACCAGUACCGUGAGGGAAAGGUGAAAAGCACCCCGGAAGGGGAGUGAAAUAGAUCCUGAAACCGUGUGCCUACAACAAGUCAAAGCUCGUUAAUGAGUGAUGGCGUGCCUUUUGUAGAAUGAACCGGCGAGUUACGAUUGCAUGCGAGGUUAAGUCGAAGAGACGGAGCCGCAGCGAAAGCGAGUCUGAAUAGGGCGAAUGAGUAUGUAGUCGUAGACCCGAAACCAUGUGAUCUACCCAUGUCCAGGUUGAAGGUGCGGUAAAACGCACUGGAGGACCGAACCCACGUACGUUGAAAAGUGCGGGGAUGAGGUGUGGGUAGCGGAGAAAUUCCAAACGAACUUGGAGAUAGCUGGUUCUCUCCGAAAUAGCUUUAGGGCUAGCCUCGGAAUUGAGAAUGAUGGAGGUAGAGCACUGUUUGGACUAGGGGCCCAUCUCGGGUUACCGAAUUCAGAUAAACUCCGAAUGCCAUUCAUUUAUAUCCGGGAGUCAGACUGCGAGUGAUAAGAUCCGUAGUCGAAAGGGAAACAGCCCAGACCACCAGCUAAGGUCCCAAAAUAUAUGUUAAGUGGAAAAGGAUGUGGGGUUGCACAGACAACUAGGAUGUUGGCUUAGAAGCAGCCACCAUUUAAAGAGUGCGUAAUAGCUCACUAGUCGAGUGACCCUGCGCCGAAAAUGUACCGGGGCUAAACAUAUUACC
This 783-nucleotide ribosomal RNA is filed under the name Enterococcus faecalis. Its description in RNAcentral is "partial 23S ribosomal RNA". It matches the Rfam family "Bacterial large subunit ribosomal RNA", at positions 411 to 1195 of the family's 2925-position model. Lineage: Bacteria; Bacillati; Bacillota; Bacilli; Lactobacillales; Enterococcaceae. The record is from RNAcentral.